GGAAGGGGCCUGAGGCCGGGAAGGGCGGGGGUUGGCGCCCAAAACAACUCGAGGGGAGGCCCAGGCCUGCUCGAGGGCCAUGCCCCCCUCUUCCCCCCUCACCUUGAAGUUUUCAAAGAACCGGGGAAGAAGUCCUUGAGGCGGGCCAGGGUGCAGACGGUGCUGCGGAGGGCCCAGUAGGAGGAAGGCCGAGGCCGAGGCCGGGAAGAGGAGAGAGGAUUGUCCUCCCACACCUGUUAUAUGCCUGUGAAACACGGACUGCCUACAGACAUCACACUCAACUCCUGGAAAGAUUCUAUCAGCGUUGCCCCCCAAAAAUCCUGCAAAUCUCUUGGGAAGGCAGGUGGACAAAUGUCAGCGUGCUGGAAGAAGCAAAGACCACCAGCACUGAAGCGAUGCUCCUACACCAUCAACUCUGCAGGACUGGCCACGUUGUCCAAAUGCCUGAUCACUGUCUUCCAAAGCAGUUACUAUACUCCUGACUCAAGAAUGUGAAAUGUAAUGUUGGUGGGCAGGAAAAGAGAUUUAAAAAUGGGCUUAAAGCCAACCUUAAAAACUGUGGUAUAGACCCAAAGAACUGGGAAGCCCUUGCCCUUAAGCACUCUAACCGGAGGUCAGCUGUGACCAGCAGUGCUGUGGAAUUCAAAGAGGCACGAAUGGAGGGAGAAACAUGCCAAGAGGAAGGCGCAUCAAGCCAACCCUGACCGGGACUGCUUUCCAUCUGGAAACUGAUGUCUUCACUGCGGAAGAACAUGUGGGUCAAGAAUAGGUCUCCACCGCCACCUACGCAUCCACCGCCAAGACACAACACUUGAAGAGCCAUCAUCCUCGGGCUACGAGGGAUCACCUAAGUAAGUAAUAUUUCAUCUCCACUUUAUCUUCACAACAGCCCUCUUAGGCAGCUCUUAUGCAGCUCAAGGUGUGAGAGAGUGAUGGGCCCAAAAUUAUUUUCAUGGGCUGUGGGAAACUGAAUGGGAUUUCCAGUUUAUAGUCACACACUGUAACCACAUCACAUUGGGUGUCCGUUUUGGCAUGGGACUAAUUCUUAAUGGAUUUCCUUUGGCAUUGAUGUUCAGUGGGUUGUUUGCAAUCUUAAACUCCGGGUUUCAUUCCCUAGCAAGAAAUAACAAAUUCUACUAGCUAUUUUUUUCUACAGUUGUUGGCCAACUGCUGACUAGUAACACCUCUGUAGAUAAAAUGUGCUCCACAUAUCUAGAUAUUCACUGCAAAGAAAACAUAAACUUCUGAUGCCCACAAAGAGGUUUCUGAACACACUAAAUAAACAGUAAUAAUUUCAAAAGGGAAAUUAAUAGCUUCGGAUAAGCAGAAUUACUCCAUGUGUUCUCCCAAUACAGCACAGUUAAGGAACCUGUUGGCCUCCAGAUAUGGUUGUACUCACACCUCCCAUCACUUCCAGCCACUAUGGGCAUAGUCUGGGAUAAGAUCAGUGAUAGUCCAACAACAUCUGAAUGACCAGGAACUCCCCAUCCCAACAUUAGAAGUUGCCAAAUAUUUUAUAUCAUGGAUAGGAAGCAGGUAAGGAAAACAAAUUGCUGCAGACUAACAUUUGGAACACAACUUGUGUUAUGACUUGUGCAACAAGGUUAUUUGGACACAUAGGGUGCAAGUGUGAAAGUCUGCUGCACAAUCUCACUUAUUCAUGGAAUUGAAACCAUGCCUACAUUUCACUGUUAACACAAACCUCUUUCAAUGCUGAGAAUGAAAUACAGGUCUUGUUGCAGUCAGUUUCAUAAAAUAAUCAUCUAAACAGAACUCGUUUAUAGCCUUGGAUGUCACAAAAUACCAAGUAUCUGAAAUAGUGAUUUUAGACUAUUAACACCUGCUUCUAUGCCUCCCACCCCAUCUCUGCUCAGAUGGGGGUUUUUUUCCAGAUAGGGAAAAUGGGAAUGUUUAUUUCAGUUGCAUAAAUGAGUCACUCUCACUGAAACUGGCACAGACUAUCCUCAAAAACAAAAGCAAUUCCAUAAACUACACACAAAUAAGGCAGACACAAAGGUUCUCUGGGUUGUAGCACAAAAGCACAAUUUAGCAGCAGAAUAAAGCUUGGAGCUAGACAAGAGAACUGACAUCAGCACGCGUGCUAAUCAUAGUACAAAGGCCCUUCUAUGUUUUGUCAAACUGAAAAGGGAGCCCACAUAAAUCACUCUUUGUUAUCUGAAAAUAUCUGGGAUUCUUGAAGCCUGUUCUAUUUUUAACAUUUUAGCAUUGGCUGCCUGGCAGGGGCUGUGCAUGGCCUGACUGAAAAGCACUGAAAAACACCAUGUGUGUGUAUAUAUGUGCCUUCAAAUUGCCUGUUGACUUAUGACAACGCCAUGAAAUUAAGUUUUUUCCUUAGGCAAGGAAUCCUCACAGGUGGUUUUGUCAGUUUUUUCCUCUGAAAUAUAGCCUACAGUCUGGUAUUUCUUGAAAGUAUCCCAUCCACGUACUAUCUUUGCUUAGCUUCCAAGAUCUGGUAUAUUAAACGUACUGAGACUGCAAAACAACAAAGGACUCUGGUUUGGCAUCUGCUUCCCAAACCUAGAAUCUCUGCUGUGCAUUUGAGCCAAACUCAUAUAAAAUGUAUUCUUUCAUUCACCCAUGCUGAAGACUUAUCAAAUCUUCCAGAUAGAGCAACUGAUGUGGAUGCCUACAAACACAUACUAAAGGGAAAUAUCUGUUCUUCAGAAAACAACCCAUCUUAUAAUGAACUUGAAGGGUUUUUUUAUUUAAAAAAAUCAAAUGCAUAAGAAAGCAAAA
Molecule: long non-coding RNA, 2757 nt
Organism: Anolis carolinensis (green anole)
Lineage: Eukaryota; Metazoa; Chordata; Lepidosauria; Squamata; Anolidae
Exons: 2
Source: RefSeq, a predicted model, not a curated record